RNAcentral lists this ribosomal RNA (254 nucleotides) under uncultured bacterium. Its description in RNAcentral is "partial 16S ribosomal RNA". It matches the Rfam family "Bacterial small subunit ribosomal RNA", at positions 524 to 776 of the family's 1533-position model. The record is from RNAcentral.
UACGGGGGGAGCAAGCGUUGUUCGGAUUUACUGGGCGUAAAGGGCGCGUAGGCGGCCUCCGCAAGUCAGUUGUGAAAUCUCCGAGCUUAACUCGGAAAGGUCAACUGAUACUGCGGGGCUAGAGUGCGGAAGGGGCAACUGGAAUUCUUGGUGUAGCGGUGAAAUGCGUAGAGAUCGGGAAGAACAUCGGUGGCGAAGGCGGCCAGCUGGGCCGUUGCUGACGCUGAGGCGCGACAGCGUGGGGAGCAAACAGG